This 496-nucleotide ribosomal RNA is filed under the name uncultured bacterium. RNAcentral's name for it is "partial 16S ribosomal RNA". It matches the Rfam family "Bacterial small subunit ribosomal RNA", at positions 29 to 507 of the family's 1533-position model. The record is from RNAcentral.
AUGAACGCUGGCGGCGUGCCUCAUACAUGCAAGUCGAGCGAACAGACGAGGAGCUUGCUCCUCUGACGUUAGCGGCGGACGGGUGAGUAACACGUGGAUAACCUACCUAUAAGACUGGGAUAACUUCGGGAAACCGGAGCUAAUACCGGAUAAUAUAUUUAACCGCAUGGUUCAAUAGUGAAAGACGGUUUUGCUGUCACUUAUAGAUGGAUCCGCGCCGCAUUAGCUAGUUGGUAAGGUAACGGCUUACCAAGGCAACGAUGCGUAGCCGACCUGAGAGGGUGAUCGGCCACACUGGAACUGAGACACGGUCCAGACUCCUACGGGAGGCAGCAGUAGGGAAUCUUCCGCAAUGGGCGAAAGCCUGACGGAGCAACGCCGCGUGAGUGAUGAAGGUCUUCGGAUCGUAAAACUCUGUUAUUAGGGAAGAACAAAUGUGUAAGUAACUAUGCACGUCUUGACGGUACCUAAUCAGAAAGCCACGGCUAACUACGUG